This is a long non-coding RNA of Scaptodrosophila lebanonensis, 2709 nucleotides long. RefSeq lists it as uncharacterized. Lineage: Eukaryota; Metazoa; Arthropoda; Insecta; Diptera; Drosophilidae. The transcript is spliced from 4 exons. The record is from RefSeq and is a predicted model, not a curated record.
CGAAGAAAACGAAGAAGGCGAAGGCCGACCCAAGAGAGGACGCUGACAAGGGCAGCGGGGAGUAGUUUGUGCAAUUAUAUGAAAGUACAACGGCAUUACGAAUACGAAACGAAUUAAAUAUCUCAAUAACACAAAAGCCAACUUAAACAUAAACAACAGCCAAUGUCAAUGUGGAAGAAAGGAACUGAAAUAAAAGUUUAAUUGCAACACUGUAGAGCAAAGCAAACAGCAAACGCAAAAUUCGCAAAAGUUGACGGAGAAGAGGCGCAAAAGAAAGUACGAAAAGACAAUAAAACCAGCUAAAGAAACAACAAAAAAAAAGCAGUGGAAAAAUAAAUACGAAAAGAAGCCACAAGCAAAGAAACGACGAGUAAGGAAAAUUUGUGCUGCGGAGGCAGCAACUUUAGCAACAAAUCAAAAACACUCACUACACGCACACACACACACGCGCGCACACACACACACAUACACUGGGCCCACACACAAGCACACAUACAGAGAGAAAUAAAAUGUGCGCUGGCAUUUAUGCGAAAAAAUAAAGUGGAAACGAAAACAACAACAAAAAUGCAAGAGAGUCAAGGCGCAGAAAAUUAAUAAACUUUUGCUAACUGUAACGGCAAAUGAACAACAGCAACAACAACAGCAACAACGACGAGAGUCAGCAAAAGGGAGAGCAACAACUACAGCAACAACAACAACACGAGCAGCAACAACAGAAUUAACAGUCAAAAGGAAACCUCCUUUGCAAGCGGAAACUCAUUUGCCAACAGUUUGAAACCAACAUCCGGCAUUGCGACGACGCUGACGUUAGCGCCGACAAUUCCCUCUCGCUCGCGCUCUCUGUCUCUCUCUCUCUCUCUCUCUCUCUCUGUCUCGCUCGUUCUCUUACUCAGAGAAGACCCAGGACGUGAAAAAAGUAGAGAAAUAGAAAAAUAGGAGCAGAAAUAUACAAAAAGGCAAUAAAAUAAAAAGAAAUACCAAAGCUGUGCGCAACAUUCAAACGAAAAAUUGUCGCAAAAUUAAAAGCUAACAAAUUAAUUAAGGCCGAGGAACGAGCUCCGAGCACCGAGAACCAAGAACCAAGCAGCGACAGGAAGCGCGCAGUUAGCUGCGCUGAAAAUUUACAGUUAUCGCCACUGGCCUGUGUGUAUGUGUGUGCUCAUGGGUGUUAACUUAUUUUCGCAUUUGCGUUGUUGUGACAAAAUUCAAAGCAUAACGACAGGCGCUACAUAUUAUUACUGAGGCGCAGGAAUUUCCAUACAAUUUCACACGCACAACAACAACAACUACAACAGCAACAACAACAACAACAGGAGCAACGAUAACAGCGCAUAAACUUGUAUUUGGAUAUUGCCAACAGCAGCAAAAACAAAAACAAAAGCAAAAAAGAAACAAUUUUAGCUUGAACUGGGCAGAAGGAAAAGCGGGGAAAGCGUCAGCAAAUCGUAACGAAAAACGACGGCAACAACAUCUGCAUACGCGCUCACGUUCGGAAUCUCGAAUUCACGUUGCUUUUACCCCCUUUCUUCAAAAAAGCCCCCUUCACUUUUCAGUCCACGUCAAUAUCAAAUAUUCAAAAGUGGCGCUUUGUCUUUUUUUUUGCGCGCCACGCCAAUACAGCGACACAUACAUACAUACAUCCAAACAUACAUACAUACACACAUACAUACAUACGCACAAGCGUAGACACACACGCUCAAACAAAAGCGCACACUCCUAGUGGGAAGGAAGCGUCGAACGAAGGAACAACGGCAUCGUCCAGCGGCCUGUCACAACUUCAGAACUCUAGUUUAACGUCUGUGUGUGUGCGUGUGCAUGUGUGUGUGUGCGUGUAUGUGUGCGCACGUGCCAGUGCAUGCUCAGAGUCUAUUGCAAUAAAAGGGCUCCCUUCCGGAAACACUCACUUCACCAUCCAAAGCAAGAAGCUACAAUUUUAGCAACAGUUUCAAGCUGGACUUCGAGAACAAAUAAAGUGCGAUCGACCAAGAAUUCUAGGGUCCACCAGCUUCAGAGGCCAUUGAGAUGUGUAUUUUCUGUUGCAUGUCGAUUGGACAAUGAACUAGCUGGCCGGUACUCGAUGGCUAAUAGAAGAACUGCUACGGCUUUGCGGCAACAAAAUUGAAAAGGUGGCAAGAACUUGAUGCCAACGACCACAACGACAACAACGACGAAGCUGGGCCGGAGCAGAAAACGAAAGAAAUUGAGCAAAAAUGAAACAUUCACAUAUUUCCAUACACAAGGAUAUGAUGGAAUUUGGCUAACUGCGCCCAGAAAAUGCGCAUGAGAUACUAAAGCCAGGAGCGGCAACAACUUCUCAACGAAAAGUAAACUAAAUAGCAUUUGAAUUUAUUUAGUGCAGAGGCCAAACAAAAGAAUAGAUACAAGUAAGAAGAAGGAAAAAACCAAAAACAAAAACAAAUAAUCUCUUAGAAAUAUAAGCGCCAAGUUGAGGUUGCGCAACAAACCGCUCACAAGCUCACAAGCGAGAGGAGCGGGAGGAGCGGAAGUAGCAGGAGGGCGUCCCCGUUGCAAGUGCCAAAAAGCGCCGCAGCAAUCAAAAGUUCGGGGCGCCACAGAGUCCAAAGACCAAGCCCGGAAAGGCGCGCGCGCCUAGCCUUGCGUGCUUGUUGCUGGCCAACGAUUGAAAGCGGCCUGCGCACACGCAGCGGCAGCGCGCACAAGCGAACCAGACAGAAAGAAAGAGAGGCA